GCGCUGAAGUUGGUACUUGUACCAACUGGAUGAGCAGCGAACGGGUGAGUAACGCGUGGGGAAUCUGCCUUUGAGCGGGGGACAACAUUUGGAAACGAAUGCUAAUACCGCAUAAAAACUUUAAACACAAGUUUUAAGUUUGAAAGAUGCAAUUGCAUCACUCAAAGAUGAUCCCGCGUUGUAUUAGCUAGUUGGUGAGGUAAAGGCUCACCAAGGCGAUGAUACAUAGCCGACCUGAGAGGGUGAUCGGCCACAUUGGGACUGAGACACGGCCCAAACUCCUACGGGAGGCAGCAGUAGGGAAUCUUCGGCAAUGGACGAAAGUCUGACCGAGCAACGCCGCGUGAGUGAAGAAGGUUUUCGGAUCGUAAAACUCUGUUGGUAGAGAAGAACGUUGGUGAGAGUGGAAAGCUCAUCAAGUGACGGUAACUACCCAGAAAGGGACGGCUAACUACGUGCCAGCAGCCGCGGUAAUACGUAGGUCCCGAGCGUUGUCCGGAUUUAUUGGGCGUAAAGCGAGCGCAGGUGGUUUAUUAAGUCUGGUGUAAAAGGCAGUGGCUCAACCAUUGUAUGCAUUGGAAACUGGUAGACUUGAGUGCAGGAGAGGAGAGUGGAAUUCCAUGUGUAGCGGUGAAAUGCGUAGAUAUAUGGAGGAACACCGGUGGCGAAAGCGGCUCUCUGGCCUGUAACUGACACUGAGGCUCGAAAGCGUGGGGAGCAAAC
This 723-nucleotide ribosomal RNA is filed under the name Lactococcus sp. HXF0047. RNAcentral's name for it is "bacterial SSU rRNA". It matches the Rfam family "Bacterial small subunit ribosomal RNA", at positions 64 to 773 of the family's 1533-position model. The record is from RNAcentral. Lineage: Bacteria; Bacillati; Bacillota; Bacilli; Lactobacillales; Streptococcaceae.